Zea mays is the source of this 1676-nucleotide RNA transcript. It is a transcript of the gene named protein-like pseudogene, with no coding region annotated. The transcript has 3 exons. The record is from RefSeq and is marked validated. Lineage: Eukaryota; Viridiplantae; Streptophyta; Magnoliopsida; Poales; Poaceae.
GCAUGAGGUUUACGCCCCUCCCCGCUCGCCGUCGGCCCAUCUCGGCCCCUGACCCUCCACCGCCACUGACUCCCUCUCUUGCCACCGAGGGAAUUCGGAUCUAGGAGCACCAUGCCACUACAGCUCUCCCUCGCCCACGAUUGGCCCCCGGCCCGGGAGAUGCCGACGCCCAUCGCGACCGCGGUUUUCUCCCCCAUGUCCUUGGCCUCUUCCUCCACUCUCAUCCUCCCUCCUCCCCCCGUUCUCGGAUGUUCUCGUCGCCUCCGCCGCGCGUUCCGCUCUCCCCACAGCCCUUGUCCGCCGCAUCAUCCUCGGUCGUUCUCGGCGUCCCGCUCCACGCCCGCCCUCGCCCAACGACCCUCGCCGCACCCCCUCCCUCGUCCUCGAUGACUCCCCCUCUGGCCCCAUCCUCGUCGGCAUCGGAGCCUGCUCUCUCCGUCAUGGGGGAGGGGAAAGCAAAGGAGGAACAAGAGCCAAGCAGUUAAGCUAGCCCGGUCGCUUGCCUUCCACCAAGAUCCCCCGAGACCUCAUCGACGAGGAGAUGGAGAUGGAGUCCAGCCCCGCCGCAUCGCCCUUUUCGUAGAGCCGUCGCCCUGCGCCUACGCUUUUGCAGCUCCUCGGCAUCGCAAUCGCUACCUCCCGCGAUGCGCCCUUGGAUCCACUUCUCAUGCGACGCCUCUGAUCGACAAGCACGUCGUGCGUCCGCACCGCCUCCCUGACCGGCAAGCACGUCAUGGCUCCAGGCACUUGCAGCCUCCACGCUUCUUCGGCCAGCGAGCACGCGACCACGCCUCCCACUGUUCAGUCGUGGUGGCUCCAGGUGCUUCUUGCCUCUGUGUCUCCCUGACUGGCAAGUGUGUAAGGAGGGACCUCCCCUGCCCUAGCUCCAAACAGAAUUAGGGAAUACGGUCAACCUCCCAUGGCUACUGCCGUGUAGGCGAUCUGACAGUCCACAAAAACCUAAGAUUCGGCACCAAGUCACUAACCGAAGGAAGGUCGAGAUGAGGAAGGAUGUGAUUUGAUCUCGAAUAUCAACUACAUCUGUCUAGCGUCGAGACACAUCUACGCCAGAAGCUGAUGGUUGUGGGUAAAACAUUUUUGUUCUGUAAUCCCCAGGCUAGCAAGUUUCACUUAAACAAAGGUUCAGGCUUUCGUUGUUUGCAAGUUGCUGCUGUUAUCGGGUUGGGUGGCGCAGGAGAAAACAGUGAUCCCACUGCUCAAUCUAUCGAUCUAUGAGCCAAACAAGACACAAACCAUGGAACAAGUGGAUUGUCUGCAUCUUACCAUUAAUGUUGAAGAAUGGUUGGAUGACAAAGGCCAAGGAGAAUGCUGCAGCUAUGUUAUUCAGAUUAUAUGUGGUCCAUGACAAUAAAAAAGAUAAUGAAUGAUCCAGAGAAUGUGAAUGUAUGCAUAGCCUUUUAUUCGAGUCAGCUAUUAAACAGGCUAAACUAUUGUUCAAGUGAGUAGAGGUAUUUUGCAACACUUAAAUAAUGGGUAGUGCCUUAUCGUUAUAGUUUCCUAACAUAUUUUUAUGUACCAUGCAUAAUUUCUUAUCUGAGUUGUCACCUGCAAGUUUCUCAGCAGCUUAUCUCUUCAUCAUUGAGUCAACCUUGUACAUUAUGCAGAAAAUGGUUGUCUUUUUUAUGCGAUAAGGCUGUCUGGAAUGCUAUCACAAA